GCUCCGAUAGUCUAAUGGUUAUGACGUGGGAUUCUGAAGUAGGAAUAUUUCAUUCCCGAAGUCCCGGUUCGAUUCCGGGUUGGAGCU
RNAcentral lists this transfer RNA (87 nucleotides) under Eutypa lata. Its description in RNAcentral is "tRNA-Gln". It matches the Rfam family "tRNA". Rfam says of the family: Transfer RNA (tRNA) molecules are approximately 80 nucleotides in length. Their secondary structure includes four short double-helical elements and three loops (D, anti-codon, and T loops). RNAcentral also lists the same sequence under 1 other name. The record is from RNAcentral. Lineage: Eukaryota; Fungi; Ascomycota; Sordariomycetes; Xylariales; Diatrypaceae.